This 1348-nucleotide ribosomal RNA is filed under the name metagenome. Its description in RNAcentral is "bacterial LSU rRNA". It matches the Rfam family "Bacterial large subunit ribosomal RNA", at positions 1564 to 2925 of the family's 2925-position model. The record is from RNAcentral.
UGAGUACGAGCUGCUACGGCAGCGAAGUGGGUGAUGUCAAGCUUCCAAGAAAAGCCCUAUACCCGUUAAGGCAUGACGGCCUGUACCCGAAACCGACACAGGUGGGGUGGUAGAGAAUACCGAGGGGCGCGAGACAACUCUCUCUAAGGAACUCGGCAAAAUGGCCCCGUAACUUCGGGAGAAGGGGUGCCACCGCAAGGUGGUCGCAGUGAAGAGGCCCAGGCGACUGUUUACCAAAAACACAGGUCUCCGCUAAGUCGCAAGACGAUGUAUGGGGGCUGACGCCUGCCCAGUGCCGGAAGGUUAAGGAAGCUGGUCAGCGCAAGCGAAGCUAGCGACUGAAGCCCCGGUGAACGGCGGCCGUAACUAUAACGGUCCUAAGGUAGCGAAAUUCCUUGUCGGGUAAGUUCCGACCCGCACGAAAGGCGUAACGAUCUGGGCGCUGUCUCGGAGAGAGGCUCGGCGAAAUAGAAUUGUCUGUGAAGAUGCGGACUACGUGCACCCGGACAGAAAGACCCUAUGAAGCUUUACUGUAGCUUGGUAUUGUGCCCGGGCUCUGAAUGCGCAGGAUAGGUGGGAGGCUUUGAUCCAUUGCUUGUGGGUAAUGGUGAGCCACUGGUGAGAUACCACUCUUUCAGAGCUAGGGUUCUAACGGUCACCCGUUAUCCGGGGACCGGACAGUAUCAGGUGGGCAGUUUGACCGGGGCGGUCGCCUCCUAAAAGGUAACGGAGGCGCGCAAAGGUUCCCUCAGGCUGGUUGGAAAUCAGCCGACGAGUGUAAAGGCAGAAGGGAGCUUGACUGUGAGACCUACAAGUCGAACAGGGACGAAAGUCGGCCUUAGUGAUCCGACGGUUCUGAGUGGAAGGGCCGUCGCUCAACGGAUAAAAGUUACUCUAGGAUAACAGGCUGAUCUCCCCCAAGAGUUCACAUCGACGGGGAGGUUUGGCACCUCGAUGUCGGCUCAUCGCAACCUGGGGCUGAAGUCGGUCCCAAGGGUUGGGCUGUUCGCCCAUUAAAGCGGUACGCGAGCUGGGUUCAGAACGUCGUGAGACAGUUCGGUCCAUAUCCGGUGCACGCGCAGGAACAUUGAGAGGAUUUCUCCCUAGUACGAGAGGACCGGGAGGAACGCACCUCUGGUGUACCAGUUAUCGUGCCAACGGUAAACGCUGGGUAGCCAUGUGCGGAGCGGAUAACCGCUGAAAGCAUCUAAGUGGGAAGCCCACCUCAAGAUGAGUGUUCCCAUGGCAUAAGCCAGUAAGGUCACGGGAAGAACACCCGUUGAUAGGCUCUACGUGGAAGCGUGGCAACACGUGAAGCGGAGGAGUACUAAUAGACCGAGGGCUUGAC